UGGCGGCUUUAGCGCGGUGGUCCCACCUGACCCCAUGCCGAACUCAGAAGUGAAACGCCGUAGCGCCGAUGGUAGUGUGGGGCCUCCCCAUGCGAGAGUAGGGAACUGCCA
This 111-nucleotide ribosomal RNA is filed under the name Erwinia aphidicola. RNAcentral also lists the same sequence under 11 other names. The record is from RNAcentral. Lineage: Bacteria; Pseudomonadati; Pseudomonadota; Gammaproteobacteria; Enterobacterales; Erwiniaceae.